This 29-nucleotide non-coding RNA is filed under the name Mus musculus (house mouse). The record is from RNAcentral. Lineage: Eukaryota; Metazoa; Chordata; Mammalia; Rodentia; Muridae.
UAGCUCUCUAAGAAAUUCCUAGGUGUGUC